This 28-nucleotide non-coding RNA is filed under the name Mus musculus (house mouse). The record is from RNAcentral. Lineage: Eukaryota; Metazoa; Chordata; Mammalia; Rodentia; Muridae.
UACGCCAAGAUUAAGAGGUAGAUAUCUC